CAGGGAGACAACAAAAUGUUUAAUAUUAUUUUGUCACCUUAGGUCGAUCGGUAUCUCACGUUCUUAAUUAAUUAAGAAUUUCAUUUUCUAAGUUUUUCUAGGUCACACCCAUUAUUUUUCCUGGGCCAUUAGCUCAGGUGGUUAGAGCGCACCCCUGAUAAGGGUGAGGUCCCUGGUUCAAGUCCAGGAUGGCCCAUAUCUCUAUGUUGGGGGUAUAGCUCAGUUGGUAGAGCGCCUGCUUUGCAAGCAGGAUGUCAGCGGUUCGAGUCCGCUUACCUCCACUGAUUACCACCUCUUCCAUAAUCCGUAUAAAGGAAAUGUUUUGAGUUGUGAUCAAAUUCUGAACGAAUCUAGCUUCCUAAUAAAAUUAUUAAGAUGCUGGACUCAUUGAAUUAAUUUCAUUGUUUUCAGAGAACCUUGACAACUGCAUAGAUUAUUUUUUUAAAGACAAUAAGCAUCUUUAAUGAUGCAGAUUUAUUAUUUGUGCGAAUGCAUUAAUAACAAUUCUAUUAAGCUGAUGCUUCAAUUUUGAAGUUAUU
This 539-nucleotide transfer RNA is filed under the name uncultured Prochlorococcus sp. Its description in RNAcentral is "partial 16S-23S ribosomal RNA intergenic spacer". The stretch from base 209 to 281 matches the Rfam family "tRNA". Lineage: Bacteria; Bacillati; Cyanobacteriota; Cyanophyceae; Synechococcales; Prochlorococcaceae. The record is from RNAcentral.